AGUGAACGCUGGCGGUAGGCCUAACACAUGCAAGUCGAACGGCGGCACAGUAAGAGCUUGCUCUUACGGGUGGCGAGUGGCGGACGGGUGAGGAAUACAUCGGAAUCUACUUUUUCGUGGGGGAUAACGUAGGGAAACUUACGCUAAUACCGCAUACGACCUACGGGUGAAAGCAGGGGAUCUUCGGACUUUGCGCGAUUGAAUGAGCCGAUGUCGGAUUAGCUAGUUGGCGGGGUAAAGGCCCACCAAGGCGACGAUCCGUAGCUGGUCUGAGAGGAUGAUCAGCCACACUGGAACUGAGACACGGUCCAGACUCCUACGGGAGGCAGCAGUGGGGAAUAUUGGACAAAGGGCGCAAGCCUGAUCCAGCCAUACCGCGUGGGUGAAGAAGGCCUUCGGGUUGUAAAGCCCUUUUGUUGGGAAAGAAAAGCAGCAGGUUAAUACCCCGCUGUUCUGACGGUACCCAAAGAAUAAGCACCGGCUAACUUCGUG
This 492-nucleotide ribosomal RNA is filed under the name uncultured bacterium. RNAcentral describes it as "partial 16S ribosomal RNA". It matches the Rfam family "Bacterial small subunit ribosomal RNA", at positions 29 to 507 of the family's 1533-position model. The record is from RNAcentral.